RNAcentral lists this long non-coding RNA (1615 nucleotides) under Theobroma cacao (cacao). RNAcentral's name for it is "long non-coding RNA (TCAC_LNC004879)". Lineage: Eukaryota; Viridiplantae; Streptophyta; Magnoliopsida; Malvales; Malvaceae. The record is from RNAcentral.
AUUCUUCAAGCUUCUAGCAACUUUUUCUUCUUCCUCACCCAUCCAAUGCCAUUUUCAUUCCACCUCCAUGAAAAUCAAAAUUUUCAUGGGAUUUUUCCUUGUUUUCUUCAUUUCUUUUCUUUUCCUAAUCCUUCCUUCUCCUAACUUCUUGGGCACUGAAUUUGCAGCUUCUAACCCCAAUUUUUAGCACAUCUAAACCCUAGGAGAGAGAAAGAAAAAUCUCUCAUUGUUUUUUAUACUUUCUAUUUCUACUUCCCUUUCAACAACACUUGGAUUUUUGACUUCAAAUCUUUAUUUUCAAGGUUGAAAGGUAUAUAUAUUUCCAACUUUUGAAAUUUUUGAAUUUAUGGAUAUAUUUUCAGAUUUAUUCCUUAAUUUCUUCAAAUUAUUUUUCUUGGAAAGAUUAGGUUUUUUGUUGAUCUUCAUGCCUCUAAGCUCAUCUAGGUAAUGAAAUUUUACAUUGGAGUAGUUGGCCAAAUGGGUAUGUGAAUUAGACUAGAAACUUAGGUUAAAUGUUAGGUUAGAGGGUAGAUUGCCUAAUGUAAAUUCAUUAGAAUUAUUAGAUUUAAUUUAUGACUUAAUUGAGGUUGUUGUGGUUUAUUGAUAAAUAUAGGUUUUAAUGGUAUUUCGGGACUACUUGGAUUAGGACCUUGUUGGUGCUAGUUUUGUCAGGUGAGUGAACUUUCAUUUCAAAAUGUUUUGGAAAAAUGUUUACGUGUUUCAAUGAAUCAUUUGAAAUUUUAUCGGUUUUUGCUUUAAAAUUGCCUGGGAAGAAGCCCUUGAGAAAAUGUUUGAUGUUGUGAAAUGUGAAAUGUGAAAUGUGUAAAAAGAUGAAUCCAUAUGUUUUUGUAUAAUGUUGAUAUAUAUAUACACACACACACACACACACACACAUAUAUGUACAUAUAUAUACACAUAUAUGUAUAUACUAUGUCAUAAAUGGUACCAUUGUGUGACAAAUGCAACUGUGCAUGUGCGGGGUGAGUGUGCACUUACCGGUGAUGAUGGUGGUGAGGGAGAUGGACGGUGAUACUGUCUGACUAUGUGUACGAUAUGGUGGGAUGCACAUAAGCUGGGUGAGAUGCACAUGAUGAAUCUUGAAAAUUUUUCAUUUAUUUGCAAAUUAAUUUUAUUGCAACGAGAAACAUUCUGUUUAUAUUGCCUUACUUGGAUAAUUGCUGAAAAUUUCCCUUCUUUCCAAUUUCAUGCUGAAUACGGUUCCUUCAUCAUUAAAUGAUUUUACAAUCAAGGGUUUAAUGGAGGGAUUUUAAUAAGAACUUGAACUAAAUGGCAUUGUUUUUAAAUAAGUCCAUCAUGUUUUCUAAACCAUUCCUUGUCAUUGCUUGUUCCCUUCCUAUGUUCACUCAUCAAGUUUGUACUCACGUUUUCAAAAUUCAUGUUUUAGGUUUCCUGAGUCAAAGGUGGUUGGAUCCUAGGAUGAGUUGUUCCUCCCUAUCCAUUACUCGGUAGGUUUACCAUGACAUUAAAUGUUAGCAACCGUGUCUAGAGUCACUCCGUUGACGGUCAAGUUCUAAUUACGUGUAUAUGAAUACUUGUUGUGAAAUGCUGAGAUUCAUUUGUCAAACUAUAUAUAUGUAUUAUGGUUGAUGAUGCC